GCAAACAAUACCACAGGGUUAAAACCAGCUAGCAAGUAUUUGUACCAUCCAUUUCCCUAAAUUACCACCUACCAAACAUCCAGGGAGUUGAGGCUGGGAGUCAACUCUCUCUAUCCUCCCUGCCUCCAUCUCUAUCACAGCAGAAGGGGUCCAGUAAAGGUUCACUCACAAGAAGAUGCUAGGACCUUAGAGUAUAUGCAGCAAGUGAUAUUUACCUUUUCUUUGGGCUUCUCAGAACAGCAACCAGAAAGUACAGUGGAGAUUGAUGCUGCCUCUUCUCAUAUACAGUAGCAACAUAUUUUUGGAGCUGAAGACCUCUCACUCCGCUUCCACUUUUGCUGCCCCUAUUCUGCCAUGAGUUUAGCUGCAGCUGAAGGAAGCCUUCUUGAUUCUGCAUCCAUCUUUUCCUUGGCUCUAGUUUCUGAUCUUGUACCUGAAACUACUUCUGGUCUCUUUUACAAGACUCAUCCCACCUCCACUGAUGACCAAAGAUGCUUCUCUCCUAUCAGAAUUCACACGGUUUGGUUGACACCAUCAUGCCAACAGCUAAAUAUCCCAGGAUUUAUGGACAAAUUGAAAAGGAGAUGGAAACAUGUCCACUAAUGACAGAGGAGAUCUUUGCUGCCCCCAUUACACGGGACAAAUGGAUCAGAGGGUUACAAAACAAAGUGUUUUGUGAGGUCUGAGGAGGAAGGGUUUUAAGGGAUGGGUAGGAAUUCAGCUGAAAAAGAGAGAUAUGUGGAGAAUAUUAUAGGCAGGGAGGUGGGAGGUGGGAAAGCAGAAUGUGCUCUGUGGGUAGACAAUAUAUUCCCAGUUUGAACCAUAGAGAUUAUAGAGGGGAAUAAUAAUGAGAUAACUGUUAAAAAAUGGGGUGAUACCAAAUUAUGAAAAGGCCUUGAAUAUCAGACAAAUAAUUCCCUUCUCCAAAGUAAACUAUUUGAAGGGGUCCAAAAUGUGGAAGAGGAACAAGAGAAUGAGGACACAGAAAAGGAGAAGGAGGCUAAAGAUGAAGAAGAGGAGCAGGAAAAGGAGGAAAAGAAAAAGGAAGAGGAGGAGGAAGAGAGAGAAAGUAGAGCAAAAUGAGGAGGAAGAAGAGGAAAAGGAAGAAGAGGAAGAAGAGGGGGGAGAAGAAGAACAAGAUGAGGAAGAGGAGGAGGAAGAGGAAAAAGAGGAGGAAGGUGAAGAGGAGGAGGAAGAGGAAGAGGAGGAAGAGGAGGAAGCAGAAAAAGAGAAAGGGAGAAAUAUCCAGCAGAAAGAAGAGUCAGCUUUUUUUUUCCCAAAACUUAUCAGCAAGGAUGACUUAACCCAUCCAUCGAGUUGGAUAUCUACCCUACUUUAAAAAGUGCUUCAAUAAAAGGAAAUCUCACAAUAUAUACUGGUGGAUCUAUGCC
RNAcentral lists this long non-coding RNA (1391 nucleotides) under Sarcophilus harrisii (Tasmanian devil). RNAcentral describes it as "lncRNA (ENSSHAG00000024601.1)". The record is from RNAcentral. Lineage: Eukaryota; Metazoa; Chordata; Mammalia; Dasyuromorphia; Dasyuridae.